This 656-nucleotide ribosomal RNA is filed under the name uncultured fungus. RNAcentral describes it as "eukaryotic LSU rRNA". It matches the Rfam family "Eukaryotic large subunit ribosomal RNA", at positions 24 to 664 of the family's 3401-position model. Lineage: Eukaryota; Fungi. The record is from RNAcentral.
CCCGCUGAACUUAAGCAUAUCAAUAAGCGGAGGAAAAGAAACUAACAAGGAUUCCCCUAGUAACUGCGAGUGAAGCGGGAAAAGCUCAAAUUUAAAAUCUGGCGGUCUUGCGGCCGUCCGAGUUGUAAUCUGGAGAAGCGUUUAUCCGCGUCGGACCGUGUACAAGUCUUCUGGAAGGGAGCGUCGUAGAGGGUGAGAAUCCCGUCUUUGACACGGACAACCGGUGCUUUUGUGAUGCGCUCUCGAAGAGUCGAGUUGUUUGGGAAUGCAGCUCAAAAUGGGUGGUAAAUUCCAUCUAAAGCUAAAUAUUGGCGAGAGACCGAUAGCGAACAAGUACCGUGAGGGAAAGAUGAAAAGCACUUUGGAAAGAGAGUUAAACAGUACGUGAAAUUGUUGAAAGGGAAACGCUUGAAGUCAGUCACGUUGGCCAGAAAUCAACUUGUAACAGGGCGUAAUUUCUGGUUUUACGGGUCAACAUCAAUUUUGAUUGUUGGAUAAAAGUCAAUAUUUAUGCGUUUUCGGACGUGUAGCCUUUGAUUGCAUACAAUGGUUGGGAUUGAGGAACUCAGCACGCCGCAAGGCCGGGUAACUUGUUACCACGUAACGUGCUUAGGAUGUUGGCAUAAUGGCUUUAAUCGACCCGUCUUGAAACACGG